This 305-nucleotide ribosomal RNA is filed under the name uncultured bacterium. Its description in RNAcentral is "bacterial SSU rRNA". It matches the Rfam family "Bacterial small subunit ribosomal RNA", at positions 333 to 652 of the family's 1533-position model. The record is from RNAcentral.
GUGCCCCUACGGGACGCAGCAGUGGGGAAUAUUGGGCAAUGGGCGCAAGCCUGACCCAGCAACGCCGCGUGAAGGAAGAAGGCUUUCGGGUUGUAAACUUCUUUUGUCAGGGACGAAGCAAGUGACGGUACCUGACGAAUAAGCCACGGCUAACUACGUGCCAGCAGCCGCGGUAAUAUGUAGGUGGCAAGCGUUAUCCGGAUUUAUUGGGUGUAAAGGGCGUGUAGGCGGGAAUGCAAGUCAGAUGUGAAAACUAUGGGCUCAACCCAUAGCCUGCCUUUGAAACUGUAUUUCUUGAGUGUUGG